Meleagris gallopavo (turkey) is the source of this 1146-nucleotide long non-coding RNA. RefSeq lists it as uncharacterized. The record is from RefSeq and is a predicted model, not a curated record. NCBI's taxonomy places the organism in Eukaryota, Metazoa, Chordata, Aves, Galliformes, Phasianidae.
ACAAAACAAGCACAGUAUUUUGGCGUUGGCAGCUCCUUCUCCUGGAAGUGCCACUUUGUGCAGCCAGGAAGCCCCAUGUCCCUUUGAAGAAUGUCUGCAGGGGAGAACAGAUAUUUUUAGAGGCACCCUCCAGCAAUGAGCAGUUCAUUGCCAGCUUAUCUCUGUGUUUAAACAAUAGUCAACCUCUUCCGCUCUCAGUUGGUGAUUCACAGUAAUUUUGUCUUAUACGGGCUCUAGUCAAGAUGAAGGUAGCUGCAUACAUUUGAUCAGACUUUCACAUUAGCUGGAUUCUGACAGGCUGGCACUGUCCUCUUUUAGCAGUGUUCUUUGUGCAUACAAAUAUGCUGGCACAAGUAUUUCCUGAACCGCGUGGCUGAGUAUGACCAGCAUGGGAAUACUCCUACCCCAGGGAGUGAAUCGGUGCCUUGCCUACAAGGUUCAGAAAUUUUGUUUCCCAUUUCGGGCACUGCACUGGAAACAUGAUACAUCCAGUUAAUCUUCAACGGGCGAUUUCAGACAUUAUAGGUCCACUUAUACCUUGUGAUGAAUUACUGCAGUGUUUGGCAAAUAUUAAAUAACAUUUUUUUGUUGACAUGGAAGUGUGACCUGCAGGCUGCAGCUGGUCCCAGUGCUCAGCACUGUUUGUGUCCUGCCGUCUGGUUCUUCCUCCCUCUGUUUGCUUGCUAUUGAAACACAGCUGGUUUACGUCCAUCACAAUCAAUGGAAGGACAUUUCCGAGCUGGUAAUUGCUUAAAGGAUCCGGUGCUGAUGGCUUCUGGAGCUGCCAAUCCGGGGAGCAGCUUUUGGCUCCUACUGUGUACAAAUAAACAGUGUAAAUCGGUGUCAAACGCCAGAUGUCCAUCACAUUACAGCAUGGUGGCCUAAUUCCAAAUAUCAGAAUUUUACAUGGACGCUUGAUAACAAAGAAGGAUAGUAGACCCUCCAGAAUUCCCUGCUCAAUAUUAUCUACUCUUCACACAAGGAUAUAUUGUGAUUUUAUUGUUCAUACCAAGCAAUACGAAAUCUUUAACUGUUCCCUUUGCUUUUCUUUCAGUUUAGUUACCAGAUGUAAAACAUUUUUUUCUGAUCAAAGGUUUGGUGUUUGGUAUCUUUACAAUAAAAAUAUAUCAUACAUGCUUACAAUUA